UUGUUCGCAUCUACUGUGAGAGCCUGCUCUUAGAACUCCUGCAAACGGAAAAGUAAAGAAGGGGGAACGGGUAAGUAACACGUGAGUAAUCUGCCCUUCACUUCGGGAUAACCGCCGGAAACGGUGGCUAAUACCGAAUACGACGCACUCUCGCAUGGGAUGUGCGUGGAAAGUUUUCUCGGUGGAGGAUGUGCUCGCGGCCUAUCAGCUUGUUGGUGAGGUAACGGCUCACCAAGGCUUCGACGGGUAGCCGGCCUGAGAGGGUGACCGGCCACACUGGGACUGAGACACGGCCCAGACUCCUACGGGAGGCAGCAGUGGGGAAUAUUGGACAAUGGGCGAAAGCCUGAUCCAGCAACGCCGCGUGAGGGAUGACGGCCUUCGGGUUGUAAACCUCUUUCAGUACCGACGAAGCGCCAAUAACGGUGGUGACGGUAGGUACAGAAGAAGGACCGGCCAACUACGUGCCAGCAGCCGCGGUAAUACGUAGGGUCCGAGCGUUGUCCGGAAUUAUUGGGCGUAAAGGGCUCGUAGGCGGUUUGUUGCGUCGGGAGUGAAAACUUACAGCUUAACUGUGAGCGUGCUUCCGAUACGGGCAGACUUGAGGUAUUCAGGGGAGAACGGAAUUCCUGGUGUA
RNAcentral lists this ribosomal RNA (637 nucleotides) under bacterium. RNAcentral describes it as "bacterial SSU rRNA". It matches the Rfam family "Bacterial small subunit ribosomal RNA", at positions 66 to 677 of the family's 1533-position model. The record is from RNAcentral.